Molecule: ribosomal RNA, 395 nt
Filed under: uncultured bacterium
Lineage: Bacteria
Description: partial 16S ribosomal RNA
Rfam family: Bacterial small subunit ribosomal RNA
Source: RNAcentral
AUACGUAGGGUGCAAGCGUUAAUCGGAAUUACUGGGCGUAAAGCGUGCGCAGGCGGUUUUGUAAGACAGAGGUGAAAUCCCCGGGCUCAACCUGGGAACUGCCUUUGUGACUGCAAGGCUAGAGUACGGCAGAGGGGGAUGGAAUUCCGCGUGUAGCAGUGAAAUGCGUAGAUAUGCGGAGGAACACCGAUGGCGAAGGCAAUCCCCUGGGCCUGUACUGACGCUCAUGCACGAAAGCGUGGGGAGCAAACAGGAUUAGAUGCCCUGGUAGUCCACGCCCUAAACGAUGUCAACUGGUUGUUGGGUCUUCAUUGACUCAGUAACGAAGCUAACGCGUGAAGGUGACCGCCUGGGGAGUACGGCCGCAAGGUUGAAACUCAAAUGAAUUGACGGGG